UCCUACGGGACGCAGCAGUGAGGAAUAUUGGUCAAUGGUCGGGAGACUGAACCAGCCAAGCCGCGUGAGGGAUGAAGGCACAGAGUAUCGUAAACCUCUUUUGUCAGGGAACAAAGGCGGGGACGUGUCCCCGGAUGAGUGUACCUGAAGAAAAAGCAUCGGCUAACUCCGUGCCAGCAGCCGCGGUAAUACGGAGGAUGCGAGCGUUAUCCGGAUUUAUUGGGUUUAAAGGGUGCGCAGGCGGUCUGUUAAGUCAGCGGUUAAAGCCCGGGGCUCAACCCCGGCCCGCCGUUGAAACUGGCAGG
This 305-nucleotide ribosomal RNA is filed under the name uncultured bacterium. Its description in RNAcentral is "bacterial SSU rRNA". It matches the Rfam family "Bacterial small subunit ribosomal RNA", at positions 337 to 640 of the family's 1533-position model. The record is from RNAcentral.